Molecule: ribosomal RNA, 213 nt
Filed under: uncultured bacterium
Lineage: Bacteria
Description: partial 16S ribosomal RNA
Rfam family: Bacterial small subunit ribosomal RNA
Source: RNAcentral
UGGGAACGUACCUUUCAGUUCGGAAUAACCCAGGGAAACUUGGGCUAAGACCGGAUACGCCCUUUUGGGGAAAGAUUUAUCGCUGAGAGAUCGGCCCGCGUCUGAUUAGCUAGUUGGUGAGGUAAAGGCUCACCAAGGCGACGAUCAGUAGCUGGUCUGAGAGGAUGAUCAGCCACAUUGGGACUGAGACACGGCCCAAACUCCUACGGGAGG